CCUACGGGAGGCAGCAGUAGGGAAUCUUCCACAAUGGGCGCAAGCCUGAUGGAGCAACACCGCGUGAGUGAAGAAGGGUUUCGGCUCGUAAAGCUCUGUUGUUGGAGAAGAACGUGCGUGAGAGUAACUGUUCACGCAGUGACGGUAUCCAACCAGCAAGUCACGGCUAACUACGUGCCAGCAGCCGCGGUAAUACGUAGGUGGCAAGCGUUAUCCGGAUUUAUUGGGCGUAAAGCGAGCGCAGGCGGUUGCUUAGGUCUGAUGUGAAAGCCUUCGGCUUAACCGAAGAAGUGCAUCGGAAACCGGGCAACUUGAGUGCAGAAGAGGACAGUGGAACUCCAUGUGUAGCGGUGGAAUGCGUAGAUAUAUGGAAGAACACCAGUGGUGAAGGCGGCUGUCUGGUCUGCAACUGACGCUGAGGCUCGAAAGCAUGGGUAGCGAACAGGAUUAGAUACCCCUGUAGUC
Molecule: ribosomal RNA, 465 nt
Filed under: uncultured bacterium
Lineage: Bacteria
Description: partial 16S ribosomal RNA
Rfam family: Bacterial small subunit ribosomal RNA
Source: RNAcentral